UACGUAGGGUGCGAGCGUUGUCCGGAAUUAUUGGGCGUAAAGAGCUCGUAGGCGGUUCGUCGCGUCGGCUGUGAAAACCUGAGGCUCAACCUCAGGCCUGCAGUCGAUACGGGCGGACUUGAGUACUGCAGGGGAGACUGGAAUUCCUGGUGUAGCGGUGAAAUGCGCAGAUAUCAGGAGGAACACCGGUGGCGAAGGCGGGUCUCUGGGCCGAUACUGACGCUGAGGAGCGAAAGCGUGGGGAGCGAACAGG
Molecule: ribosomal RNA, 253 nt
Filed under: uncultured bacterium
Lineage: Bacteria
Description: partial 16S ribosomal RNA
Rfam family: Bacterial small subunit ribosomal RNA
Source: RNAcentral